Molecule: ribosomal RNA, 425 nt
Filed under: uncultured bacterium
Lineage: Bacteria
Description: partial 16S ribosomal RNA
Rfam family: Bacterial small subunit ribosomal RNA
Source: RNAcentral
GUGGGGAAUAUUGGGCAAUGGGCGAAAGCCUGACCCAGCAACGCCGCGUGAAGGAAGAAGGUUUUCGGAUCGUAAACUUCUAUCCUUGGUGAAGAUAAUGACGGUAGCCAAGAAGGAAGCCCCGGCUAACUACGUGCCAGCAGCCGCGGUAAUACGUAGGGGGCAAGCGUUGUCCGGAAUGAUUGGGCGUAAAGGGCGCGUAGGCGGCCUGGUAAGUCUGGAGUGAAAGUCCUGCUUUUAAGGUGGGAAUUGCUUUGGAUACUGUCGGGCUUGAGUGCAGGAGAGGUAAGUGGAAUUCCCGGUGUAGCGGUGAAAUGCGUAGAGAUCGGGAGGAACACCAGUGGCGAAGGCGACUUACUGGACUGUAACUGACGCUGAGGCGCGAAAGUGUGGGGAGCAAACAGGAUUAGAAACCCGGGUAGUCC